Molecule: ribosomal RNA, 460 nt
Filed under: uncultured bacterium
Lineage: Bacteria
Description: partial 16S ribosomal RNA
Rfam family: Bacterial small subunit ribosomal RNA
Source: RNAcentral
CCUACGGGGGGCUGCAGUGAGGCAUAUUGGUCAAUGGACGAGAGUCUGAACCAGCCAAGUAGCGUGAAGGAUGUCUGCCCUAUGGGUUGUAAACUUCUUUUAUAUGGGAAUAAAAUGUUCCACGUGUGGGAUUUUGUAUGUACCAUAUGAAUAAGGAUCGGCUAACUCCGUGCCAGCAGCCGCGGUAAUACGGAGGAUCCGAGCGGUAUCCGGAUUAAUUGGGUUUAAAGGGAGCGUAGGUGGAUUGUUAAGUCAGUUGUGAAAGUUUGCGGCUCAACCGUAAAAUUGAAGUUAGAACUUGCAGUCUUGAGUACAGUAGAGGUGGGCGAAAUUCGUGGUGUAGCAGUGAAAUGCUAAGAUAUCACGAAGAACUCCGAUUGCGAAGGCAGUUCACUGGACUGCAACUGAGACUGAGGCUAGAAAGUGUGGGUAUCAAACAGGAUUAGAUACGCUAGUAGUC